This is a non-coding RNA of Cinara cedri, 391 nucleotides long. The record is from the annotation of a GenBank genome assembly. Lineage: Eukaryota; Metazoa; Arthropoda; Insecta; Hemiptera; Aphididae.
UUUAACAGUUUAAAAAUCAUCUGUUAACUAACAAUACAAAUUGUAAUAUACAUAAUUUGAUUAAUUAUCACCUGUUUUCAACUAAGUAUAAGUACUUACUCGCUUAUCAGUAUCAUAAUAAAGUUAAUUAGUAAUUAAUAUCAUAUUAUAUUAAAUAAAAGUAUUGAAAUUUAGGACUUAGCUAACUAAUAUAUAGCCCAAGAACGCUAUUAACUUCAAGAGGAGUCCCUCUCAAGAGUGCUUUCAAUUUUUUUUUUUUAUAUUUUCCAUUGGUGAAUUUAAUUUAUUAUCUACUACAAAAAUAAAAAUUCUAUCUAGUUGUUAGAAAUAUUGUUGAAUAUAAAUACUGAUAUUAAAUAAUGUUUAUUUUUGUAAAUUAGUUAUUCGCCUG